AGUCCCGGGAUCCGGCUCAGCGCCAGGCAGGGCUAAGGGCCACCCGAGCGGAUUCGGCCCCGCGGUCAGGGCCAAGCUGGGCUCCGGCGCUGCUGCUCCCGCGGCGCCGACUGGAGCUCCAGAGCCCCUCCCGUCUCUACCUGCUCGAGCUCCCGAAGUCGCCGCGCCUUAACGCGCCGUGUCGGGGCCGCAGGCGCCACUAGGGAAGCCCAGCUCCCCGCUGGAAGGACGCUCCGGACACUGCGAAUGAAUGACGACAACGCGGCUCACUUGGAGCGGGUCCGGGUUUGUGCGGACUCGGUACCACCGCGGGCUCCGCGCGCCGAGCUGAGCAGCUGUGGCUGGCUUCGGGGGAACCUUCGGGGGAAGCUCCUGGGGACCGUGUGCCAAGCACUGGGCCCGACGCCCAUCCCAGCAGGGAGGACGCCGCCAGCCUGCGUGGGAGAUCUGGAGGAUAGUUCAGCCAAAAAAAAAAAAAAAAAAAAAAAAAAAAAAGUUCCUCUUCCCAAAUGAUGGGAAUUUAGCAGACUCUGCUUUGUUGUGGAUGCUGGGCAAUCCUAGGGACUUUUCCCUUUCCAAAUGAGCAGAGAUUCAAAUGAAACCUUCUUGUGUGGGCUUCAAAAUUGUGACUUUUGUAGCUCCGACUUGAAUUGUUGAAUUCCUUCAAUUAGUCGAAUGAGCAAAUCACCAGCCAUUCUAAUGAGACUGCCAUUUCAUCUGUUCGCUUCCUACCGCUUGGGCUCUCAAGGAAUGGAAGUUUCCCUUGAUGUUACCACACAGACUGAUCUGCUUCUUCCAGGCAUCAGUGGAAACCUCAUGUAUUUAACACAGACUCAAAAAACUCAUUUGGCACUUUUGGUCACAGUGCAGUGCCUUCAGUCACAAAAUCUGCAAAUAAAAAGCAAACAAUAAGAUUAUAAGUCAUACAUAUGCAAAAAUUAUAUUAAUAUAUCAUGUAACUUUUAUAUUUUUGAAGUGUUUCCAUAGGUAUUCUUUUACUUGAUAUAAUUGGUAUUUUUAAAAACUCUAAGUGCCUUAAUACCAUGUUGGGGUUUGGAAAAUGAUACCACAAAGCAUGGUGCUUUGGCAUGCUGAGUACUUUGAACUAAAGGAGAUUGAAAGGCCUCAGAAGCAGUUUCUCUCUGACCUCCUUCUGCCCUCCUGUCUCCCACCUCUCUUUCUCCCCCAAAGUGAGUCAUGGAAACUAAAGGCAGGUCAUAGAAACUAAAACCCCUCUUCCCAAAGGAAGCUACAAAACCUAGAAAUAUUACCAUUCCUCACUCUUCUGUGUAAGAGCAGACAUAAAGAAUAGAGAAAUAAAGAAAUUAUCUACCCUACCUUGUUGGAUAGUAGGUCCCCUUUCCAAAGGAGUCCUGCUCUAAACCCAGGAGGAGGGAAAGCUAUACGGAGAGGCCAAGAAGAAUCUGAACAGACAGACUGGGUCUGUUCUCAGUCUAUUACCAUUGGAUCUUACCCUUUUGUCCAACCACAUCUACAUGGCUGCCCACUCUUCAUUGAACCUAAGCACAAAAAUGGACAGAGCGAGACUCUCUCAAAAAAAUAAACAGGCUGGGCAUGGUGGCUCAUGCCUGCAACCCCAGCAUUUUGGUAGGCAGAGCCAGGAGGACCCCAUCUGUAUUAAACCAGAGAGACCCCAUCUCUAUUAAAAAAAAAUAGACAGGUUUCCCUGGGUUUUUCCGUCUUCAUUUCUGAAGGUUCCCAUGUCACCUAAAACUUUGAUUAAAC
This 1746-nucleotide long non-coding RNA is filed under the name Homo sapiens (human). RNAcentral's name for it is "non-protein coding lnc-ELMOD2-4:5". Lineage: Eukaryota; Metazoa; Chordata; Mammalia; Primates; Hominidae. The record is from RNAcentral.